CAGAGCAGCCUCAGUGUACUCAGGAGUGUUCACACAGAUCUUUAAAGAGGAGAGAGGACUGUACCAGGACAGGGUGUUCUGCUUUGUCCAUCUGAGUGUUCAGGAGUUUCUGGCUGCUCUUCAUGUUCAUCUGACCUUCUUCUGCUCUGAACUCAAUCUUCUGGAAAAACAAACACCCUCCAAAAAGUAUGAAUCAAGAGAAUCUGCAGAGACACGUUUAUAUCAGAGUGCUGUGGACAGCGCUUUACAGAGUCCAAAUGGACAUCUGGACUUGUUCCUCCGCUUCCUCCUGGGUCUUUCAUGGGAAACCAACCAAGCUCUGCUACAAGGACUGCUGACGAAGACAAGAAGUAGCUCAGUGACAAUUCAGAAAACAGUGGAGUACAUCAAGAAUAAUAUCAGUGACAAUUUGUCUGCAGAGAAAAGCAUCAACCUGUUCCACUGUUUGAACGAACUGAAUGAUCAUUCUCUAGUGGAGGAGAUCCAACAGUCCCUGAAUUCAGGAAGUCUCUCUAGGGAUGAACUGUCUCCAGCUCAGUGGUCAGCUCUGGUCUUCAUCUUACUUUCAUCAGAAAAAGAUUUGAAUGUGUUUGAUCUGAAGAAGUACUCCCCCUCUGAGGAGGGUCUUCUCAGGCUACUUCCAGUGGUCAAGUCCUCCAAGAAAGCUUUAAUGAGUGGCUGUAACCUCUCAGAGAAAAGCUGUGAAGGUUUGUCCUCAAUUCUCAGCUCCCAGUCCUCACAUCUGAGAGAGUUGGACCUGAGUAACAAUGACCUGAAUGUUUGGGGAGUGAAAAAGCUUUCUGCUGGGCUGGAGAGUCCACAUUGUAAACUGGAAACUCUCAGUCUGUCAGGCUGUCUGAUCACAGAGGAAGGUUGUGCUUCUCUGGCCUUAGCUAUUCAUUCCAACCCAUCAUCCCAUCUGCGACAGCUCGACCUGAGCUACAAUCAUACAGGAGACGGGGGGAAGCUGCUGCUAUGCGGACUUGAGGAUCCACUCAGGAGGCUGGAGACUCUCAGCUUGGAACCGGUUGGUGUCGAGUGGUUGAUACCAGGUCUGAGGAAGUAUUCCUGUCAACUCACAAUCGACACAAACACAGUAAACAGAAAACUCCAACUAUCUGACAACAACAGGAAGGUAACCCAUCUGAAAGAGGAUCAGUCGUAUCCUGAUCAUCCAGACAGAUUUGACCGUCCUCAGCUGUUGUGUAACAAUGGUCUGACUGGUCGUUGUUACUGGGAGGUCGAGUGGAGAGGAAGGGUUGAUAUUGCCGUGAGUUAUAAAGGAAUCAGAAGGAAAGGAGACAAAAACCACUCAUGGCUUGGAAGGAAUGAUCAGUCCUGGUGCCUGAGCUGCUUUCAUGAUGGUUACUCUUUGUGCCACAACAACAGUGUAACAUUCAGUCGUCUCCCCUCCUCAUCCUCUGUCUCUAACAGAGUAGCAGUGUAUUUGGAUGCUGCUGCUGGCACUCUGUCCUUCUACAGAGUCUCUUCUGACAGCCUCAAUCACAUUCACACCUUCAACACCACAUUCACUGAACCUCUUUAUCCUGGGUUUGGGCUUCAGAAUGACACCUCACUGAUUAUAUGUGACUUAAAAGAACACAGAGAAAAACUCAGAACUCUGAAAUCAUCUAAAACAAACAUUAGCAAUAAGCUGCCUUAGUAUUUUUUUUUUUUUUCAAAAGAAAACAACAGGCAAAGCUUUGUUACUUUAAAAUCCUCCUGAUAUGGCUGCUGCUUUAUCUUUAGUUGUGGGACCAAACAGAAAUGGAAGUGUGUGAGGACUGUCCUGGUAUCAAUCUGUCCUUCUAGAGACUCUCGCCUGAUUUCCUCAUCCACAUUCAGGCCAUGAGUAUCACAAUAGCCGAGCCUCAUUAGUUUGGUUUUAGGUUUCAGAAUGACACCUCAGUGUAUUUAAAAGAGUUUAAGAUGUUUUUAAUUAUGAUGGUUCAACUGUGAGUGCCAGCAUUAUCCAAUGAACAGUACUGGCUUUUUGUUAUGUGCCUGCUGUGUAUUAUGGAGGAGCUGUUAAGAAGACAACCAACUCUUUUAUUGUUUACCAAUAAUUUUAGAGCUGUUUUAUAAUGAAAGUCAGUUGUUGGUGUUUUUGAAAAAUACAUAAAUACGUAUGUUCAUACAUAAAUUGUCAAAACGUGAGCUUUGA
Long non-coding RNA from Oreochromis niloticus (Nile tilapia), 2164 nucleotides. RefSeq annotates it as ribonuclease inhibitor. The transcript has 5 exons. The record is from RefSeq and is a predicted model, not a curated record. Lineage: Eukaryota; Metazoa; Chordata; Actinopteri; Cichliformes; Cichlidae.